Molecule: long non-coding RNA, 874 nt
Organism: Myiozetetes cayanensis
Lineage: Eukaryota; Metazoa; Chordata; Aves; Passeriformes; Tyrannidae
Exons: 3
Source: RefSeq, a predicted model, not a curated record
GUUUUUCCUCUGCCAGAAGCGAUUUCCACCCCCUUGAAUUUCCCAGGGGCUUGGUGAGAAAGGAAAAGAAGCACUGUCAAAGGUUUUCCCCUUCCCUUCCAAAGUGUAAGCCCCUGGGGUCCCUGGCAGGGAUUUGGCAGCCACAGGAAUGCGUGGGAAUAUGGGAGACUUCAGGACAGGGCUUAAUGGGUGUAAGUCCUUAAGAGGAAAAUCUCACCAAGGGCUUCUCUGCAACUCACUCACCCCGAAGUCUCAGAGCAAAACUGUCCACGCCGACCCCCCACGUCCUGGUUUGCCUCACUUGGGUGUCCUUGUUCUCUACAGCCUGGGGCAAGGGUGUGCUCAGUGCCCCUGUCAAGGGACAAGCACAGCGCCACAGUAUUUCCUGAUAUUUUGCCUUCCAGGGCGUGAAGGAGUUAAAGUUUUCAGAUGGAAAGCGAACUGAAGAUCAGACCAGCAGCCUGGUGACCUCCCGCUGCUGGGACAGCAGCAGCUCCCAGCCAAGCCCGGCAGUUCCAUCCAUCCACCGGCUCGGUGGGGCCACGGGGAGCAGCGCACGGUGCCUCAGCUCGUGACCACAUCUGGCCUCAACGUUCUCAGCAGCGGAUCAGGCUCCUGAAGACCUUCACUACAAGAAUCCUACACCUUUCAGUGUGACAGCCUUGAUGUAAAUAGAUACACACGCACUUCGCUUGAAUUGGUGGAGCAGCUCCUGGUAGCAAAGCCAAGACUGUAAGUGUGUGCAGGAUCGGACCCCAAGGGGAGGGUGAGUGGGUGGGCACAGGCUUCCCUGGGGCAGGGACACGGAGGGACACCUCACACAGCUUUCACUGACCCACUAAGUGUCAUGAGAUGUCUCGGCAGCCUGCACAAA